This 150-nucleotide unclassified non-coding RNA is filed under the name uncultured Xylariales. RNAcentral describes it as "sequence contains ITS2". Lineage: Eukaryota; Fungi; Ascomycota; Sordariomycetes; Xylariales. The record is from RNAcentral.
CAACCCUUAAGCUUAGCUUAGUGUUGGGAGAUUACCCUGUAGUAACUCCCUAAAACCAUUGGCAGAGUCAAUACACCUCUGAGCGCAGUAAUUUUCUUCUCGCUUCUGUGGCCUGUAUUAACGAUCGCCAUAAACCUAUUAUUUUUCAAU